This 163-nucleotide ribosomal RNA is filed under the name uncultured Clostridium sp. RNAcentral's name for it is "partial 16S ribosomal RNA". It matches the Rfam family "Bacterial small subunit ribosomal RNA", at positions 330 to 510 of the family's 1533-position model. Lineage: Bacteria; Bacillati; Bacillota; Clostridia; Eubacteriales; Clostridiaceae. The record is from RNAcentral.
UCCAGACUCCUACGGGAGGCAGCAGUGGGGAAUAUUGCACAAUGGCGGAAACCCUGAUGCAGCGACGCCGCGUGAGUGAUGAAGGCCCUUGGGUCGUAAAACUCUGUCCUAAGGGAAGAUAAUGACGGUACCUUAGGAGGAAGCCCCGGCUAACUACGUGCCA